Molecule: unclassified non-coding RNA, 438 nt
Filed under: uncultured Basidiomycota
Lineage: Eukaryota; Fungi; Basidiomycota
Description: sequence contains ITS2
Rfam family: 5.8S ribosomal RNA (bases 1-150)
Source: RNAcentral
AACUUUCAGCAACGGAUCUCUUGGCUCUCGCAUCGAUGAAGAACGCAGCGAAAUGCGAUAAGUAAUGUGAAUUGCAGAAAUCCGUGAAUCAUUGAAUCUUUGAACGCAACUUGCACUCAUCUACAAAUGAGUAUGCCUGUUUGAGUACCUAUAACACCCUCCAACCGGCUUGGUUGAAAUCUGGGCGAUUCAGCGCCAGCCGCGCUGAUUGCCUCAAAGUCAUACCUGGCCUGCUGCGCCCAAGGCUACCGAAGUCAAAGUGACUGAAGGGUUCGCCCACGUCCUUUGUCUUGUGUGCUAGCUUGCAGCGGGCAAAGUUGCCAUUGAGUGGGCACGAGAGAGAAGCGGGCGGAUACGCGCCUGCACUCUCUCUGUACUUCAGGUCUCAAAUCAGGUAGGAAGACCCGCUGAACUUAAGCAUAUCAAUAAGCGGAGGCU